This 145-nucleotide non-coding RNA is filed under the name Rubrivivax gelatinosus. Its description in RNAcentral is "FMN sequence". It matches the Rfam family "FMN riboswitch aptamer (RFN element)". Rfam says of the family: The RFN element is a highly conserved domain that is found frequently in the 5'-untranslated regions of prokaryotic mRNAs that encode for flavin mononucleotide (FMN) biosynthesis and transport proteins. This element is a metabolite-dependent riboswitch that directly binds FMN in the absence of proteins. The record is from RNAcentral. Lineage: Bacteria; Pseudomonadati; Pseudomonadota; Betaproteobacteria; Burkholderiales; Sphaerotilaceae. RNAcentral also lists the same sequence under 1 other name.
ACACGUCUUCAGGGCGGGGUGGAACUCCCCACCGGCGGUAGGCGGCUUCGGCCGCGAGCCCGCGAGCGCCCGGCGCGAGCCGGGGUCAGCAGAUCUGGUGCGAAGCCAGGGCCGACGGUCACAGUCCGGAUGAAAGAAGACGUGC